This 466-nucleotide ribosomal RNA is filed under the name uncultured bacterium. Its description in RNAcentral is "partial 16S ribosomal RNA". It matches the Rfam family "Bacterial small subunit ribosomal RNA", at positions 28 to 507 of the family's 1533-position model. The record is from RNAcentral.
GACGAACGCUGGCGGCGCGCCUAACACAUGCAGGUCGAACGAGCGAGAGAGAGCUUGCUUUCUCGAGCGAGUGGCGAACGGAUGAGUAACGCGUGAGGAACCUGCCUCAAAGAGGGGGACAACAGUUGGAAACGACUGCUAAUACCGCAUAAGCCCACGGCUCGGCAUCGAGCAGGGGGAAAAGGAGCAAUCCGCUUUGAGAUGGCCUCGCGUCCGAUUAGCUAGUUGGUGGGGUAACGGCCCACCAAGGCGACGAUCGGUAGCCGGACUGAGAGGUUGAACGGCCACAUUGGGACUGAGACACGGCCCAGACUCCUACGGGAGGCAGCAGUGGGGAAUAUUGCACAAUGGGGGAAACCCUGAUGCAGCGACGCCGCGUGGAGGAAGAAGGUCUUCGGAUUGUAAACUCCUGUUGUUGGGGAAGAUAAUGACGGUACCCAACAAGGAAGUGACGGCUAACUACGUG